This 497-nucleotide ribosomal RNA is filed under the name uncultured bacterium. Its description in RNAcentral is "partial 16S ribosomal RNA". It matches the Rfam family "Bacterial small subunit ribosomal RNA", at positions 28 to 507 of the family's 1533-position model. The record is from RNAcentral.
GAUGAACGCUGGCGGCGUGCCUAAUACAUGCAAGUCGAGCGAACGGACGAGAAGCUUGCUUCUCUGAUGUUAGCGGCGGACGGGUGAGUAACACGUGGAUAACCUACCUAUAAGACUGGGAUAACUUCGGGAAACCGGAGCUAAUACCGGAUGAUAUUUUGAACCGCAUGGUUCAAAAGUGAACGACGGUCUUGCUGUCACUUAUAGAUGGAUCCGCGCUGCAUUAGCUAGUUGGUAAGGUAACGGCUUACCAAGGCAACGAUGCAUAGCCGACCUGAGCGGGUGACCGGCCACACUAGGACUGAGACACGGUCCAGACGCCUACGGGAGGCACCAGUAGGGAAUCUUCCGCAAUGGGCGAAAGCCUGGCGGAGCAACGCCGCGUGAGUGAUGAAGGUCUUCGGAUCGGAAAACUCUGUUAUUAGGGAAGAACAUAUGUGUAAGUAACUGUGCACAUCUUGACGGUACCUAAUCAGAAAGCCACGGCUAACUACGUG